UUCAGACCUGUGGAUCAAGAAGAAACAUGAGAUGACCACAGAAAAUACGGUUGCUGAUCCCUGCCUUCAAGGAAUGCUGGCCAGUUUUCUGGAGACUCCCAGCCUCUCAGCUGAGACCACAGGUAGUUGGUCAGACUCUAUACUGCAGGAGGUACCCUGUGCACAUGA
Homo sapiens (human) is the source of this 168-nucleotide long non-coding RNA. NCBI's taxonomy places the organism in Eukaryota, Metazoa, Chordata, Mammalia, Primates, Hominidae. The record is from Ensembl.